CGUAUGGUCAUAUGAACUGAGGCGCA
RNAcentral lists this non-coding RNA (26 nucleotides) under Cricetulus griseus (Chinese hamster). Lineage: Eukaryota; Metazoa; Chordata; Mammalia; Rodentia; Cricetidae. The record is from RNAcentral.